This 496-nucleotide ribosomal RNA is filed under the name uncultured bacterium. RNAcentral describes it as "partial 16S ribosomal RNA". It matches the Rfam family "Bacterial small subunit ribosomal RNA", at positions 28 to 523 of the family's 1533-position model. The record is from RNAcentral.
GAUGAACGCUAGCGGCAGGCCUAAUACAUGCAAGUCGAGGGGUAUCCCGCUUUCGGGCGGGAGAGACCGGCGCACGGGUGCGUAACGCGUAUGCAACCUACCCAUAUCUGGGGGAUAGCCCGGAGAAAUCCGGAUUAACACCGCAUAAAAUCACAGUACGGCAUCGUACAAUGAUCAAAUAUUGAUAGGAUAUGGAUGGGCAUGCGUGUCAUUAGCUGGUUGGCGGGGUAACGGCCCACCAAGGCGACGAUGACUAGGGGAUCUGAGAGGAUGGCCCCCCACACUGGUACUGAGACACGGACCAGACUCCUACGGGAGGCAGCAGUAAGGAAUAUUGGUCAAUGGGCGGAAGUCUGAACCAGCCAUGCCGCGUGCAGGAAGACGGCCCUCUGGGUUGUAAACUGCUUUUAUUCGGGAAUAAACCUGCAUACGUGUAUGCAGCUGAACGUACCGAAGGAAUAAGGAUCGGCUAACUCCGUGCCAGCCGCCGCCGUAA